CGUUUUCGUUCGAAGAAGAAACAACAUGAUUCGAUUGCUUCUCAUCUUCGGGACUAGCUACUGUGACCGAGGCGACCUCCAAGUCGACGUCGUUCGAUUUGCUCGACGACGAUGCUGGUACCAUGUGCCUUUCCACCGAUACAUAACGAAAAAACGUACCUGUAACCAUACUCUCGUAGAAGAAUUCCUAGGAUGGGUGGAAGAAAUAUCGAACCUAAUGCACUACCAGAUAUGCAGAGCCCAUUUGCAAGUCCACGUAACCGUACAAAGUAUGAAGUUACUAUAUACACAGUUGGGGGAAAAGAUAACCCUGCUCCAGUUCCUACCAGAACACCAUAACUAAAAGAUUGAACAAACAAUAAGAUUACACAUUUACAUAAAAAAUGUAAUAGUAUGCUUUUAAUUUAAUAGCAAUAAUAAUAUAUUAAUAAUUACCUGACACACAAGAAGGCCACAGAGUUGGCAAAAUAACUUAGCAUCAUUCCUGCAGCAGCAAAUGUUCCUCCCAAUAAAGUCACUGUUCUAUAGGAGUAUUUAACUGAUAGUACACUGGAAAGGGGUCCUACAACAAAAAUUAAUUUUCUUAUUUUCAAUUCCAAAUGUUUGCCACUAGAUAAUAGUUUUACCUAGUUUUAAUUAAGCUUACCAAGUGAACUAUACAAAAAAUAGCAUAAAGCUGGUAUCCAAGCAGCUGCAGAAGGUGAUGCAUCAAAAACUUCUAGAAAUUCAACAAAUAAAACACCAAAGGAUUUCACUGUUCCUGGAAUUAGUAGAUUGACCAUAACGGAUGCUAAAAGUACAAGCCAUCCCCAUCCUCCAUCCGGUGGGACUAGGUCCUCUUCAGUUGUUACAUUUUUAACUAAAUAAAAAGAAUUAUGAAUAUUAUUAUUAUUUAUAAGUAUAUACGACUAGAUUCCAUUAGUUUACUCAAUUCAUACUUAUUGUUAUAGCAUAUUUUAUAUACAAUUGAAAAACAAAUUCCUUUUAAAAAUUUAAAAAGUCCUUAUCUUUUAUAUAGAAUUAAAAUACUAUGUUUUUAAUUAUAACAUAUUUGAAAUAAUUUCGUGUUAGAAAAUUUCCCAUAACUAUCUGGAGAGAUAUACAUAUUUUUUUACUUGAAAUAGAAUACUUUAUCACUAAACAAAAUAUGAAAAAAAGAGCGUAAAACAUCGGUAAUUGUAUAUUUGUAUUUAUUAUUAGAACUCAUUAAGAAAAUUUAAAAUUCUCAGUGCAUAUCAUAUUUUUAGUCAUUGCUAAAAAGAUCGCAAUAUAAAGCGAUUUUUAAAAAGAUCACAAUGAAUCUUUAUUACGUUUCCUAUCUUUUUACUCAUAAAUUAAAAUAUUUACAUACAAUUAGUGGGUGAACAUUGAUCCCUUCAGAAAAAAAAAGGAAAAAAGAAAUAAAAAUGUAGAUUCUCAAUGUAAA
Long non-coding RNA from Bombus terrestris (buff-tailed bumblebee), 1426 nucleotides. RefSeq lists it as uncharacterized. The transcript is spliced from 2 exons. Lineage: Eukaryota; Metazoa; Arthropoda; Insecta; Hymenoptera; Apidae. The record is from RefSeq and is a predicted model, not a curated record.